This 861-nucleotide ribosomal RNA is filed under the name uncultured archaeon. Its description in RNAcentral is "bacterial SSU rRNA". It matches the Rfam family "Archaeal small subunit ribosomal RNA", at positions 55 to 897 of the family's 1478-position model. The record is from RNAcentral.
UAGUCGAACGACCAGAACUAUGUCUGGAAGUGGCACACUGCUCAGUAACACGUAGCUAACUACCCUUAGGACGUGGAUACCCCCGAGAAAUUGGGGUUAAUCCGCGAUAGGUGUAAUGUCCUGGAAUGGUAUUACGCCUAAAGGUGUAUCAUACAUGUUUGAUAUACGCCUAAGGAUGGGGCUGCGGCCGAUCAGGCUGUUGGUGAGGUAAUGGCUCACCAAACCUUUGACCGGUACGGGCCAUGAGAGUGGUAGCCCGGAGAUGGACACUGAGACAAGGGUCCAGGCCCUAAGGGGCGCAGCAACCGCGAAACCUCCACAAUGCACUCACGUGCGAUGGGGCUAUCUCGAGUGCCACCUGAUGAAGGUGGCUUUUCCUAGGUCUUCAAAGCCUUGGGAAUAAGAGGGGGGCAAGACUGGUGUCAGCCGCCGCGGUAACACCAGCCCCUCGAGUGGUGGGGAUGAUUAUUUGGCCUAAAGCGUCCGUAGCCGGCCGAGCAAGUCUUCCGUUAAAUCCAGCGUCUCAAGCGUUGGACUGCGGGAGAUACUACACGGCUAGAGAGUGGGAGAGGUCAGCGGUAUUCUGGGGGUAGGGGCGAAAUCCUUUGAUCCCCGGAGGACCACCAGUGGCGAAGGCUGCUGACUAGAACACGUCUGACGGUCAGGGACGAAAGCUGGGGUAGCGAACCGGAUUAGAUACCCGGGUAGUCCCAGCCGUAAACGAUGCAUGCUAGGUGUUGGGUUGGCCACGAGCCACCCCAGUGCCGCAGGGAAGCCGUUAAGCAUGCCGCCUGGGAAGUACGAUCGCAAGAUUGAAACUUAAAGGAAUUGGCGGGGGAGCACCACCAGGCGUGAAGCCUG